RNAcentral lists this ribosomal RNA (2151 nucleotides) under Salmonella enterica subsp. enterica serovar Brandenburg. Its description in RNAcentral is "partial 23S ribosomal RNA". It matches the Rfam family "Bacterial large subunit ribosomal RNA", at positions 771 to 2897 of the family's 2925-position model. Lineage: Bacteria; Pseudomonadati; Pseudomonadota; Gammaproteobacteria; Enterobacterales; Enterobacteriaceae. The record is from RNAcentral.
GGACCGAACCGACUAAUGUUGAAAAAUUAGCGGAUGACCUGUGGCUGGGGGUGAAAGGCCAAUCAAACCGGGAGAUAGCUGGUUCUCCCCGAAAGCUAUUUAGGUAGCGCCUCGUGAAUUCAUCUCCGGGGGUAGAGCACUGUUUCGGCUAGGGGGCCAUCCCGGCUUACCAACCCGAUGCAAACUGCGAAUACCGGAGAAUGUUAUCACGGGAGACACACGGCGGGUGCUAACGUCCGUCGUGAAGAGGGAAACAACCCAGACCGCCAGCUAAGGUCCCAAAGUCAUGGUUAAGUGGGAAACGAUGUGGGAAGGCCCAGACAGCCAGGAUGUUGGCUUAGAAGCAGCCAUCAUUUAAAGAAAGCGUAAUAGCUCACUGGUCGAGUCGGCCUGCGCGGAAGAUGUAACGGGGCUAAACCAUGCACCGAAGCUGCGGCAGCGACGCUGAUGCGUUGUUGGGUAGGGGAGCGUUCUGUAAGCCUGCGAAGGUGGCCUGUGAGGGUUGCUGGAGGUAUCAGAAGUGCGAAUGCUGACAUAAGUAACGAUAAAGCGGGUGAAAAGCCCGCUCGCCGGAAGACCAAGGGUUCCUGUCCAACGUUAAUCGGGGCAGGGUGAGUCGACCCCUAAGGCGAGGCCGAAAGGCGUAGUCGAUGGGAAACGGGUUAAUAUUCCCGUACUUGGUGUUACUGCGAAGGGGGGACGGAGAAGGCUAUGUUGGCCGGGCGACGGUUGUCCCGGUUUAAGCGUGUAGGUGUGUGUUCCAGGUAAAUCCGGUUCACUUUAACACUGAGGCGUGAUGACGAGGCACUACGGUGCUGAAGCAACAAAUGCCCUGCUUCCAGGAAAAGCCUCUAAGCAUCAGGUAACAUCAAAUCGUACCCCAAACCGACACAGGUGGUCAGGUAGAGAAUACCAAGGCGCUUGAGAGAACUCGGGUGAAGGAACUAGGCAAAAUGGUGCCGUAACUUCGGGAGAAGGCACGCUGACACGUAGGUGAAGUGAUUUACUCAUGGAGCUGAAGUCAGUCGAAGAUACCAGCUGGCUGCAACUGUUUAUUAAAAACACAGCACUGUGCAAACACGAAAGUGGACGUAUACGGUGUGACGCCUGCCCGGUGCCGGAAGGUUAAUUGAUGGGGUCAGCGCAAGCGAAGCUCCUGAUCGAAGCCCCGGUAAACGGCGGCCGUAACUAUAACGGUCCUAAGGUAGCGAAAUUCCUUGUCGGGUAAGUUCCGACCUGCACGAAUGGCGUAAUGAUGGCCAGGCUGUCUCCACCCGAGACUCAGUGAAAUUGAACUCGCUGUGAAGAUGCAGUGUACCCGCGGCAAGACGGAAAGACCCCGUGAACCUUUACUAUAGCUUGACACUGAACAUUGAGCCUUGAUGUGUAGGAUAGGUGGGAGGCUUUGAAGUGUGGACGCCAGUCUGCAUGGAGCCGGCCUUGAAAUACCACCCUUUAAUGUUUGAUGUUCUAACGUGGACCCGUGAUCCGGGUUGCGGACAGUGUCUGGUGGGUAGUUUGACUGGGGCGGUCUCCUCCUAAAGAGUAACGGAGGAGCACGAAGGUUGGCUAAUCCUGGUCGGACAUCAGGAGGUUAGUGCAAUGGCAUAAGCCAGCUUGACUGCGAGCGUGACGGCGCGAGCAGGUGCGAAAGCAGGUCAUAGUGAUCCGGUGGUUCUGAAUGGAAGGGCCAUCGCUCAACGGAUAAAAGGUACUCCGGGGAUAACAGGCUGAUACCGCCCAAGAGUUCAUAUCGACGGCGGUGUUUGGCACCUCGAUGUCGGCUCAUCACAUCCUGGGGCUGAAGUAGGUCCCAAGGGUAUGGCUGUUCGCCAUUUAAAGUGGUACGCGAGCUGGGUUUAGAACGUCGUGAGACAGUUCGGUCCCUAUCUGCCGUGGGCGCUGGAGAACUGAGGGGGGCUGCUCCUAGUACGAGAGGACCGGAGUGGACGCAUCACUGGUGUUCGGGUUGUCAUGCCAAUGGCACUGCCCGGUAGCUAAAUGCGGAAGAGAUAAGUGCUGAAAGCAUCUAAGCACGAAACUUGCCCCGAGAUGAGUUCUCCCUGAGACUUUAGGUCUCCUGAAGGAACGUUGAAGACGACGACGUUGAUAGGCCGGGUGUGUAAGCGCAGCGAUGCGUUGAGCUAACCG